Cebus imitator (Panamanian white-faced capuchin) is the source of this 1995-nucleotide long non-coding RNA. RefSeq lists it as uncharacterized. The record is from RefSeq and is a predicted model, not a curated record. NCBI's taxonomy places the organism in Eukaryota, Metazoa, Chordata, Mammalia, Primates, Cebidae. The transcript is spliced from 2 exons.
GAAUACGCUGCUAUCAGUGACCUCCGGGUCAUCUCUCCCCUCUCUUCCUUACGGUUUGCAUAAACGAGCUGUUUUCGGCUCUGGGAAAGAAAAGCCAUCCAGCGAUUAUGUGGAUCUAAUUAAGUCAGUUGGGAUACUGGCAGAGAGCGGCACUGGCUGGAGGCGGAGUUUGUUCCGAAGGACUAUGGAAGGAUCGCACACGGCCCUUUUCAGCUGCUCGAGCUCGGCCGGCGCCUGGCUGCAAACGGAAGCCUGAACUGGGCUGGGGAGCUAUGCCCGCAGACUUCUCAUUUUAUUCACAAAACUGGCCAGCCUCGGGGAAAGCUUUGAGGCUAGGGCUAGCCCCCUCCUUCCCACUCCAGACCGAGCUACGGCUCCAAAAUGAGACAGCUGUCUAGCCUUAGCCCGUACAUUUCCUUUCUCCACCCGGAUCUUCGGCUGCUCAGGAGCGAUCAGCUCCCUUAGCCGGGAGACUCCAGAUCCUGUGACCUGCGGGGGCAGACCUCAGAUGUGUUCGCGUUGGCAUGCACAGAAAUGACUGGGGCCCCAGUGUGUGCACCUUCAACUCUGCAGCCCACCUGCCCUCUUCCAGGCGCUGGCACAAGGGCAGGUGCCUCCGCCGUAGCGUCUACACGUCUGCCAGGCAAAGUUCGAAAGUACGAAUUUCCAUCUUCUUUUUCCACUACUCCUGGCCAUUUCCAUUCCCAGCCCCAUCCCCUCCACCCCAAACCGUGAACUAUGUGGUAGGGGGCUCGCUUAAGCACCCUGCACUCGAGUACUGCCGCGGUGGCGGCCAAAGUGAGCUGCGGAGCCUGUCGGCUGCUGUUUGUGGGAAGAGGGUUGCGACCUCAGGAGAGAGUGAAAACAGCGCCGCUUGAAAAGCACCAGUUCCGAAGAUCCACAGAGUUCAUGGAGUGGUAGAGAAGGCUCCAUGCUCUUGAGAGCAGAGGUGGACAGGGUCAGUGGGGGCCGCUUCCGGGUGUGUGGGGGCGAGAACCUCAGGUCUAAGUGCGCUCUUCUGGGCCGAGCCUCUUUUUCUCUAUCCUCACGUGUCUGCCCUCUGGACAACAGUGGCUCCGUAUGGUGGGCUGCGACCCUGACUGACGGGCCUAUCUUGCGUCCUGUGUCCUGCAUCCUCCAGACCUCACACGCGGUUUUCCCCUCCAGACCUGACGCUUGGUGUCCAACAGUGGACCCAGCAGGACUGCCUGGAAGGCUCAUCAUCCAGGCAAAGCCUGAAGCCAUGCUACCUGGUCGGGGACUGCAAACCUGCUUGGAGUCAGCAGUGAGACCCUAGCGGGGAAGGAGAAUGUGUGAGGGUGCGCCUGGGUUGAGGGUCUGUGACUGUAGCAUGGAAAAGGAGGACUUCAUGCAGGGAUGGCCCUGUGGGAUAGCCAAGAAUACUUCAGCGGCAGCUUCCUUCCUACCAAUUACACGCGGCCUUCUGACACAGUGGCACUUCAGCAACUGGACGCCCUUCCCAGGCCCUGAAUUGGGGCAGGGCAGGAGGGAGGGUGCAGAACCAUAGGGACCUAUUUCCCAGGCAGUGUAACUGGCAAGGCCGUAAGUCUUCUCGUGGGCGCAGAAAUAUUGCCAGGUCCCUGUGUCCUCUGGGCAGAUGCAGAGCCGUGUAAGCCUCACAGAAGCGGAGCCAGGGGAACAGCGGGAGCUCUGGCUUGGCGGUACGGACGCUAGUGAUGGAUUCCUGGGGAACAGCGACCUCUGGAGGAACCUCUCAUCCACGCAAAGAGUCAGGAGCUAGACAGAGGACAAGAAAGAAGCCUUCUGGAGAGCUCAGUUCAUCUUCCCCCUUCCUGCUCUGAGCUCAUUCUCAGGCCAUACUGCACAGCCGACCUGCUUCCUGCUGGAUCUUCUCCAAAAAGACCGUGAAUCCACUCCACCCGUGCUUUGAGUUGCAUGGUGGGCAUCCCAUUCCCGCCCAACCACCUCACCCAACCCCCCAGUAAAUAAAGACUGAAGUUAUUCAUUCCAAAA